CCGCCGGGGUGAGUCACUGGGAGGGUGUGCGCCCCUCGUGGGCGGUGCCGGGAGCCUGGGGGCCGGGCCGCAGGGGCUGGGGCGGGGGGCGGGGCCUUCGGGGCCCCGCCCCCAGUCGGGGCAGGACAGCUCCCCCCACUUCCUCCCGUGAAGCUGCCUGAACCAUGGUUUCAUCUCGAAGGGUAAAGAGAGCUGUGGAGUGAGCACAGGCCCAGUGGCCAGUGACACUGGGAUGAAGCUGUCUGAGGGGGUUUUCCAGGGCACAUGGCCCUCUGGCUGUGGCCAUGCACUGGGGGCCCUGCCCUGGGCUCUGCCCCACAUUCACACAACUCACCUGCCACACCCUCUGGGGGGGGCUUUGUCUCCUAGCCCCCUGUCUAUCCAUCCACUUCGGAUAGGACAGAGCCCCUAGAGCCCAGGCACCAUGACACGGGAGUCAGUGGUUCCUAACAAUGGGCUCCUUCUGGGGACCCACUGCUGGGACACCUGCAGCCCAUCCUCUUCCGAAGACACUCAGAGGCGGAAGCCCUGCAGAACCAGGCUGGCAGCCUCUGUGGUCACUUGAGCCUGUGGAACCAGAAGGAAGCUGGCAGGUGUGGCUUGCUCCAGGUGCCCCCACUGCCACCCCACACCUUUGACUCAGAGCUACAUCAAGUCCCUCAUCAUGGAGGUUCUGGAACCCCCUUCCUCUCGCUGGCCUGAAGUCCUUCACGUCCCCACGGUGGUCUGCCGCUGCUGUCAAACCUGGUGCCUUGGAUGGCUCACUGCCCACCCACUCCACCCGGUCUGGGAGCCGGGACCCAGCAGAGGUGGAGAACCACCUGGGACCAGGGCUCAGCUCCCCCUCCUCCUGCUGGGGGACCAGCUCCAUCCAGGUGCUCCACCUGCCAGCUGUGGACUGUAUCGAGGCCUCGCCGGCGUGUCCCCUGCUGUUACACCCCCACGCCCCAGGUGCCACGGGUGCAUUUUAGAGGAAGCUGUAAAAUCCGCGAAGUCGUCCCUGCAGACACGGCAGCCUGUUUCAGGAAAACUGAUCACCUGCCUCCUGCCUCCUGACUUCUCAUUUGGGAGGGUCCUGACACCCCCAGCCUGCCAGCCGGGCCCCCGAGCCACCCUCCAAGGCUGGGCUGGUGGGGAGGAGGCAGCGCUGGGGCGGCUUCCCCCCCGGGGCUGUGGCCAGGGGACCUGCCGCUCGGCCGGGGGCUCGCUCUGGGGAGGGCGUGAUGGCGCAGACCUGCCCACCAAGAAGGGCACUGGCGACCACCAGCAGCUGUGCUGGGAAGAGCCCACACACGUGUCCAGCUGCGCGGGGAGGGGCCACGCCCCGCGGGUCAGAUGCGACUCGGAAGCGAGUGUUGAGCACUUUAUUAAAGCUGGUGGCGGUAGGUACAUCGGGCGGCCCCCUAGCUCGGGGCUGCGAGGUCUCCUCCAGGGACAUGGGGCCGCUGGCCUGCGCCCUUCGCUGAGACCCGGAGGUGUUUGAAGGCGGUGGGCAGCGUGCGGCCCAGGAACGGAGGGGCGGUCACGUCCUGGACCAUGACGACGUACUCCCCUGCAAGAGACGGGCGCUCGACUCGCUCCCCAGCUGCCCCCGCCUGCCAGGCUUCUGCCCCCCCAGAGCCUCUCUACCCCUCGUCAGCGGCACCCCGAGCCCCACUUCCUGAUCUGGGGCUCCUGACUCAGGGCCCCUCCGGGGCUCCGGGCCCUUCUCCUCUGGGACCCUGGGACCUGGUUGCUGUCUUGCUUGGGUGGCUGGCUGUACAACAGAGGUGGAUAAAUGACUUUGGGGUGAAUGAAGCCGCCUCCAACCUCAGGACACAGCUCAGCUCCACAGGGUGAGCUGCGUUCAAGGUCUCCCCUCCUGGCCAGUGGGGCUACGUGGCUGAGGGCAGCCGUCCUUUUGAAACUACUUUCCUAUCUUUUUAGGAGAAAAAUAAUUCAC
This is a long non-coding RNA of Camelus dromedarius (Arabian camel), 1942 nucleotides long. NCBI's taxonomy places the organism in Eukaryota, Metazoa, Chordata, Mammalia, Artiodactyla, Camelidae. The record is from Ensembl.